This 83-nucleotide transfer RNA is filed under the name Nannocystis sp. RNAcentral's name for it is "tRNA-Leu". It matches the Rfam family "tRNA". From Rfam's summary of the family: Transfer RNA (tRNA) molecules are approximately 80 nucleotides in length. Their secondary structure includes four short double-helical elements and three loops (D, anti-codon, and T loops). The record is from RNAcentral. Lineage: Bacteria; Pseudomonadati; Myxococcota; Nannocystales; Nannocystaceae.
GCGAGGGUGGCGGAAUUGGUAGACGCGCACGAUUCAGGUUCGUGUGUCCAACGGAUGUGAGGGUUCGAGUCCCUCUCCUCGCA